UACAGAGGUGGCAAGCGUUGUUCGGAAUUACUGGGCGUAAAGGGUGUGUAGGUGGUUUGAUAAGUUAGGUGUGAAAGUCCUGGGCUUAACCUGGGAAUUGCGCCUAAUACUGUUAAGCUAGAGUACUGUAGAGGAAGGUGGAAUUUCCGGUGUAGCGGUGAAAUGCGUAGAUAUCGGAAGGAACAUCAGUGGCGAAGGCGACCUUCUGGACAGAUACUGACACUGAGACACGAAAGCAUGGGUAGCAAACAGG
Molecule: ribosomal RNA, 253 nt
Filed under: uncultured bacterium
Lineage: Bacteria
Description: partial 16S ribosomal RNA
Rfam family: Bacterial small subunit ribosomal RNA
Source: RNAcentral